UCGACGAAACAGGGGUGCUUUGCGCGCGGGCCACACGCCGCGGCGAGGCUGAGAGAGACCCUUUGCACCCGAUCCGGGUAAUACCGGCGCGGGAAGUUUCCGGAAGUCAGCG
RNAcentral lists this non-coding RNA (112 nucleotides) under Paraburkholderia phenazinium. RNAcentral describes it as "TPP sequence". It matches the Rfam family "TPP riboswitch aptamer (THI element)". Rfam says of the family: Vitamin B(1) in its active form thiamin pyrophosphate (TPP) is an essential coenzyme that is synthesised by coupling of pyrimidine and thiazole moieties in bacteria. The previously detected thiamin-regulatory element, thi box was extended, resulting in a new, highly conserved RNA secondary structure, the THI element, which is widely distributed in eubacteria and also occurs in some archaea. The record is from Rfam by way of RNAcentral. Lineage: Bacteria; Pseudomonadati; Pseudomonadota; Betaproteobacteria; Burkholderiales; Burkholderiaceae.